AAUUUAUUAGUAUAUUAGUACAUUUAACUUCCAAUUAAAAAGUCUUAGUAGAUAAAUUA
This 59-nucleotide transfer RNA is filed under the name unidentified. RNAcentral's name for it is "Spelaeomysis bottazzii tRNA-Gly". The record is from RNAcentral.